UGAUAUACAUGCUAUCCUAAAAAGUUAAAUUGAAUUCAGGAAAAUAAAUUGUUGUAGAAACGAUUGUUUAUUGUCAUUUAGUAUUAUUUAAUGUUCUCUCUCAUUCCUGCGUGUUUGCAAAUGUUCAAACUGCCUUCCUUCAUUUUCCAAACAAAGUUGAUAAUAUCCAACCAUGGAUUCAACAACAUUGCCAAACAUUUCAUUUGGAAUUGUAAGACAUUGUAUUAGAAUUUCAUUUUUCAAAUCAUCAAUUGUCACUGGUUUUGCAGUGUAAACCUUAUCUUUGAGAUGUCCCCUUAAAAAAAUCCAUUGGCAUGAGGUCUGGGGAAUGGAUGAGCGUUGUGUAGGGA
Molecule: long non-coding RNA, 350 nt
Organism: Octopus sinensis (East Asian common octopus)
Lineage: Eukaryota; Metazoa; Mollusca; Cephalopoda; Octopoda; Octopodidae
Exons: 3
Source: RefSeq, a predicted model, not a curated record